Molecule: long non-coding RNA, 1078 nt
Organism: Nicotiana tabacum (common tobacco)
Lineage: Eukaryota; Viridiplantae; Streptophyta; Magnoliopsida; Solanales; Solanaceae
Source: RefSeq, a predicted model, not a curated record
UAAAAAAAAUGAGAGAGGGACGCAUAUAGAGGAACGGCGCAGAAGGACUCCUUUGGAGCUUGAUCUUCUUCCUCAUCAAAAUGAAAAACUCAACCGCUUCUUUUGCUUUUCUCUUGAGCACACAAAUCUCUCUUCAUAUUACACUGCAUUUCUCUCAAAAAAUACAGUAACGAAAAGUUGUUGAGAAUUGACAGUAGCUUAAAAAUUCAAUUGGAGAGCUGAACCUUCAAAGAACUUUUUCAUCACUCGAAAAGCUCGAAAUUGGAGUGUUUAGCUGGGUUUUGGGUUUGGGUAUAACUCGAAAAGGGGAGUUGUUUGGUUGAUGUUGCUCCCACGUUGCUAGCUGAGCUCCAAUUUUUUGUUUCAAUCGUUAUUUGGCUUCUUUGUCUUCUAAAUCUCGUCCUUGCGUAAUUAGAUUCCUUAUCUAACUAGGUUUUGCUGUUUGAGCUAUCUUCAUAUCCUGGCCCUUUAAUGUUAAGAUUCGGCUUCAUAUGAAUUGAAACGUUAUUAGGAAGUUAUAUUUAAAAUCUUCAUUUUUGGUAAAUACGAUUCCGAGUCGAUCUUAAGGAUGAGACAGAGUUCGAUACUUCACAAUUUUUGGAGAAAUGGGAUUUUCAGCAUUGUUAAUUUGCUUUCCUUCAACUGAUUUAUAUAUGUAACCAAAUUGUGAAGAUCUUUCGAUUUUCUUAGAUUGCCAAGUGAAAGACAAAUUAUCUGAAUGUUUAAGGAGUUACAUGCCACUGUAUGUUUCCAUGGUUUCUUAGAUAAGUUUUUCUCCUCGAGAGCAUAAUUAGCACUAUUAGCUGUACUAUCUAGCAUGCCAUUCAUACUCUAAAAUCGUUAUUUUGGUUGUUCUAAGAGGUAUUUUCGUUGUGCUUGACCAAAGAAGUAUCCCAUGCGCAAGUGAUUAAAAUUGGAAAUAUAUCCAAUGCCUUUUUGAUUUUCUCGCUUAUUGACAUGUACUGCAAAUUUGGAUGCAUAAGCCAAGGAAAGGCUUUUCAAAAGAUAUGGCAAGGUUGAUAGUGUGGAUAUGAAAUCUAGUUUUGCUUUUGUUUAUAUGGACGAUGAUUUCUUGUUA